Molecule: small nucleolar RNA, 92 nt
Organism: Jaculus jaculus (lesser Egyptian jerboa)
Lineage: Eukaryota; Metazoa; Chordata; Mammalia; Rodentia; Dipodidae
Source: Ensembl
CUGUCCCUAUGAUGUUUAACAAUGGGCUCUGAUCACCUCUUGAAGACUUGGUGCUCCCCCAGGAGCUCUGAUACCUGGGUUCUGAGGGACCC